Molecule: non-coding RNA, 681 nt
Organism: Delphinapterus leucas (beluga whale)
Lineage: Eukaryota; Metazoa; Chordata; Mammalia; Artiodactyla; Monodontidae
Source: RefSeq, a predicted model, not a curated record
ACAUACUCUCACUGUAUGAUCCUGUAAUCAUGCUCCUUGGCAUUCACCCAAAGGAGCUGAGAACUUCUGUCCACACCAAAACCUGCAUAUGGAUAUUUAUAGUAGCUUUCAUAAUUGCCAUAUAUAUAAGUCGGUUGUGUUUCUAUAUACAGGCAAUGAACAAUCAGAAAUUGAAAUACAAAGAAAAAUACCAUUUACAAUAGCAACAAAUAUGGAUUACCUAGAAGAAUCCAUGGGAGGAUUAAGAAGAAAAGAAACCAAGGAAAGUGUUUUUCAAGUAGGAGGAAAUGGUCGGCAGUAUCAAAUCCUGAUGAUAAACAGAGACACCAUGCUGUUGUCUAUCAAAGACCAUUGGGAUGGAUGACCACUUACAGAAAAGGAUGUCAAAACCUUGAGAGAAUCAUGCUGUCUUCUGUGUCAUAAAGACAAAAGACUUGAGAAGUAGCUUAAAGCUGAACUAGUGAAACCGGAAGCCAACCACCACCACCAGGGGAGAGAGAGCCGGCAGCUGCCAGGAGGAAAUUUUGACUACAACUCUGUCAACCAGGAAAAUUUUAAUCACCGGCCAUGGAAAUUGGGCCAAGUUACAGGUUUUCCACUUUCCAGUUAUACAAGAAUAAAAUGGAUUAUACUAAGUUGGAAAGCAUUUUGGAGUAAUCAGAAUACAGAUGUACAAAUAUG